Long non-coding RNA from Tympanuchus pallidicinctus (lesser prairie-chicken), 3482 nucleotides. RefSeq lists it as uncharacterized. Lineage: Eukaryota; Metazoa; Chordata; Aves; Galliformes; Phasianidae. The transcript has 2 exons. The record is from RefSeq and is a predicted model, not a curated record.
CCUGCCCCGCAGUAUUUCUAGGACCUGGUGUUUUUCAUAUGAUGGACCAUAAAGAAAUUGCCUUGUAGAAGGAAUGGGGCAGAUAUUUCAGGAAUUCAGUGCUGGUUAUUAGUAGCAAUCAUCUGGAAGUGUCCAAAACAAACACAAACAGCAAUCAGUCAGAGGCUGUGGCGUAUCAGUGAGUGUAAGCAGUGGCGGGGGAGCGACUAGGAGAGCUUAGAGUCUUGCUGAGAAAGCAAACAAAAUACAAAGGGAGAGAACAGCUUAAAGAAUAUCCAAAACUAAAUAUACUUCCUAUUGUUAGCACGAUGCUGGUAUGAUAUAUAACGGGACUUCUUUCAGUGAUAAACGCUAUCAACAGCUGCAGUGAAGGCGUGGGGCUGAAUGCUUCUGUGAACAAUCCUAACAAAUCCAACAACUCAGUGUGCCUACACUGUAGCUGUUUCAGAGUGGGCACAAGUUUAAAAGGGCCUCGACAUGGGGACAGGCUGCAUACCCUGUGCUGAGCACAAGCAAAUCCACAGCCAGGGAUUUGUCAAUACCACUGGCCCCAAGUAGCCUACUGGCAUCCCCAUGUGUUUGCUCAAAGACAGGUGAAAGGAAACUAAACAAGAAACAGUGAGUGGUUGUUAUCCUGCAAACACCCCGAUGGAUUCAGAUCAGCGGAAGUGUAAGACCUGUAACUGCUUUCACCUUCACCUAUGCAGAGGUGUGGAGGAAAAACGCACCUAUGAAAAAUAGUGCUGAUUCCCGAGGAGAGGAAUAGCUGCAUGGAAAGGGAACAGCCACCUUCUGACCGGGCUGUUGGGUAAAUCCUUGCUGUGACUGUAGCAAACCCCAGCUGCUGCUCUUGCACCCAGGACAAAGGUAAAGCACGUACCUCUGUCACCACCAUUUCUGCCCCUUGCUACUUGUGGCUUUGACCUAAGAACCUAAGGAAGCUAAAUCACCACAAUUAAACGUUAACAGUGUGCCCAUAAACUGUGAGGACACAACCAUCUACAUCGUCUACAGUCCUUCCUCCAUUCCCUUUUUUUAAAAAAGAUUCCAUAAUGAAUUAUGUAAAGCUUUUAUAGCUGCGCAGUUUUUCUUUUAUGAACUGUUGGUUAUGCAGUGAAUUUCUCUCUUGUUUUGCUGCGAAGCCUUCGGGAUUGUAGCUGCAAGUUAAAUUUCACCUAUAAAACACGUUAUCAGCUGCAUAACGAAAGCACCAGAACUUGAAGACAGGAUACCUUCAGAAGAUCACCCCAUGAACAGUGGCUGGGAGUGCUGCACAGAUAAACAGCCAGUGUUCGUGCUCACCUGAGCAUUAACAAACCAAAGGUUAGCAUGGAGAGUAACACCGGGGCGUUCGUGUUUUGUAUUUGGCACUUAACAAAACAUGCACCAAUCUACAGGGAAAGGUCCUUCCUUCCUCAUUCAAACUUGGCAGAAGUCUGAGCGCAGUGCACAACUAGGAACAGGGAACGUGCAGAGGAAAUAGAUCACGAGGGAGCUGGGGUGGGAAAAAACAGUGGCUUAAUCUGCAGAGCCCCUUAUUUUGGGAAAUUAUUUUUAGCAUUUGGAACCAUUAAGUGCCAUGGUCCAUACAGACCCAGUCCCUCCAUCCUCCCUGCACCUGGUGCUGCUUUCCCACACAUGCUCACUCCUCCUCUGGGGGCUACAGCUUCACUAAUGGGUGGUUCUAUGCAUUCCCAUUGCCUCUUCCUUCAGCUCUGUCCAUGCUUCCAUCUGUAUUUGGUGUUAACCUAUGGCAUGCAAAUAUCCCCCCCUUUCCACACUGGGAGAGGUCCUCCGAGGAUCUAAGCUGCUGUUUUGAAUGACCAUUUCAGCUAUUGGUCACUUCAGUAGGCUUGUUGGAGUCAACAGCUGGCAAUAAUGUAUUUCUCACAUACCAACUGUCCCUCAAUCACAGAGCAGGCUCCUGUCACUACGCUCUCUGUGCACCAGUGUGAUUUUCCUGCGCUGCAUUUGGUCUGCAACGCAAUGGGUACAGUGCAGUCGUGACACGUGGUUAGCAAUCGCUCCGUGAGCUUGUGAUAACAUCACAUAAAAAAUGGUUCUCAGAUUCUGCACACAGACAGGUUUAUGUAAAAUAUAUAAACAUUUGUCCAAGUUGUUACAGAUUGCAUAAAUAUGGCAUUUUUACUGUAGCAUUUACAGAUGUGCAUGUACAACGAUGUGCAAAUAAUCACCAUUUGAUUACAAUCUUUGAAAGGUACUCGAAUUUGGCAUCCCAAUGACGCAAUGAAUGAAAAAUGCCCACCGAAGAAUUUCAACAGCAAACUUACAACAUCGCUUAAGUUCGUAACAAAUCUCAGUGUCUUCUCAGUAAAACUUUCACACAUUUAAAAUAGUUUGUAUUCAUUUUAUUUGUAUAUGUCAAAAUACUUCUUCUUUUUUUUUUUUUUUUUUUUCCAAAAUAGUGGGUUUUGCAACUAGUUUCAUGCAGAUACAAGGUCUGCUCAGUACUACCAAUAAAAUCAAUAUAGCACAGUAGCCAUUCAUCUUUUUUAAGAUAUAAAGAAUAAAUAACCUAAAUAUAAAACACUAAAAUAUUAGAAACACGUAUUUAAUCAUUCACAGGCACCCAAACUUUACCAAAUAUAAUCGAGAAUAUGCCUAACUGUCUUGUAACAGAACUCAGUACGCUGCAGCCAUUCAAACCGUUCAGUUCUCCGCUUAUUUUAUGUUAGCAUAUGACAGUGGAAGUUCCCUACGGUUCAGCCCCACCUCUCACACAGAUCGAUUACUAUCAGGUAUCUCAGACCAUCCGUGUACCUUUAAAAUCAAGAAUCCUGAGCUUGGUAGUGAGAGCAUAACCUUACAUCUUCAAAAAACCAGCGGAGAGAGGACAUCGCGUCUUCCUUCCCCAACAUAUCCCACCCCCCUAAAGCUAAGCCCACCCCCCAGGAGGCAGUAGAACACAAUGACCUUUUUAAAUGAAGGGGUACAAAUUCACAUUUAAUGUAGUAUACAAUAUAAUCAAUAAUACAAUAGCUACUACAAGCUUUACAAUGUACAAUCGGUUGUAAUGGCUGAUCUGGUCAGUGGUUUUAGGCAAUGAAGUUAUGUGCCCAUAGGAUGUCGUAUUCCGAAUGGUUUAAUGAAAUAUAAAAGCUGUUUCUAACAAAAGCAAUCUUCACUUAAGUACUUUUUUUUGUUUUUAAAGGCCACUGAAAUGUAUAAAAUGGUCUGACACGAUGGUGUUAUCAAAUUAGAUGCCUUCUCACAUGGCAACAGUGCAUAUAAACAUUAAUGUGAGUGUAACGGGUUAUGUUUUUCAAAUGAUUUAGUAAGAUUACUUUGGCUAGCACAACAGUUUUGGACAGCACUCAGAUAAAUACAGGUAUGUGAAAUGUAGUGAAGCAGUUAUAUUUAUGCAUUUUUUAUUAUGGUGAACACUAUCAAAUAAAAAAAAAAAAAAACAAAUGGGAAGAAAAGAUAAUAAAGUAUUUUAUAUAGUUUAGACCUUUUGUAAA